This 3064-nucleotide ribosomal RNA is filed under the name Salmonella enterica. RNAcentral describes it as "23S ribosomal RNA". It matches the Rfam family "Bacterial large subunit ribosomal RNA". The record is from RNAcentral. Lineage: Bacteria; Pseudomonadati; Pseudomonadota; Gammaproteobacteria; Enterobacterales; Enterobacteriaceae.
GGGUUGUGAGGUUAAGCGACUAAGCGUACACGGUGGAUGCCCUGGCAGUCAGAGGCGAUGAAGGGCGUGCUAAUCUGCGAUAAGCGCCGGUAAGGUGAUAUGAACCGUUAUAACCGGCGAUACCCGAAUGGGGAAACCCAGUGUGACUCGUCACACUAUCAUUAACUGAAUCCAUAGGUUAAUGAGGCGAACCGGGGGAACUGAAACAUCUAAGUACCCCGAGGAAAAGAAAUCAACCGAGAUUCCCCCAGUAGCGGCGAGCGAACGGGGAGGAGCCCAGAGCCUGAAUCAGCAUGUGUGUUAGUGGAAGCGUCUGGAAAGGCGCGCGAUACAGGGUGACAGCCCCGUACACAAAAGCGCAUGUGCUGUGAGCUCGAUGAGUAGGGCGGGACACGUGGUAUCCUGUCUGAAUAUGGGGGGACCAUCCUCCAAGGCUAAAUACUCCUGACUGACCGAUAGUGAACCAGUACCGUGAGGGAAAGGCGAAAAGAACCCCGGCGAGGGGAGUGAAAAAGAACCUGAAACCGUGUACGUACAAGCAGUGGGAGCCCCACCACCAAAGCAUUUGCUGUACCGCGUUGACGGAGCGAAGCGACGUCAAACCGAUAAAACAGCAGUGUAAAGUGAGCCGCAGGGCGCUUUGCGCGACAGCGCAAAGGCAGGCGGUUUCGCGUAGCGAAAGCGAAUGCUUUGGGGUGGGGUGACUGCGUACCUUUUGUAUAAUGGGUCAGCGACUUAUAUUCUGUAGCAAGGUUAACCGAAUAGGGGAGCCGGAGGGAAACCGAGUCUUAAUUGGGCGUUAAGUUGCAGGGUAUAGACCCGAAACCCGGUGAUCUAGCCAUGGGCAGGUUGAAGGUUGGGUAACACUAACUGGAGGACCGAACCGACUAAUGUUGAAAAAUUAGCGGAUGACCUGUGGCUGGGGGUGAAAGGCCAAUCAAACCGGGAGAUAGCUGGUUCUCCCCGAAAGCUAUUUAGGUAGCGCCUCGUGAAUUCAUCUCCGGGGGUAGAGCACUGUUUCGGCUAGGGGGCCAUCCCGGCUUACCAACCCGAUGCAAACUGCGAAUACCGGAGAAUGUUAUCACGGGAGACACACGGCGGGUGCUAACGUCCGUCGUGAAGAGGGAAACAACCCAGACCGCCAGCUAAGGUCCCAAAGUCAUGGUUAAGUGGGAAACGAUGUGGGAAGGCCCAGACAGCCGUGAUGUUGGCUUAGAAGCAGCCAUCAUUUAAAGAAAGCGUAAUAGCUCACUGGUCGAGUCGGCCUGCGCGGAAGAUGUAACGGGGCUAAACCAUGCACCGAAGCUGCGGCAGCGACACUGUGUGUUGUUGGGUAGGGGAGCGUUCUGUAAGCCUGUGAAGGUGUGUCGUGAGGCAUGCUGGAGGUAUCAGAAGUGCGAAUGCUGACAUAAGUAACGAUAAAGCGGGUGAAAAGCCCGCUCGCCGGAAGACCAAGGGUUCCUGUCCAACGUUAAUCGGGGCAGGGUGAGUCGACCCCUAAGGCGAGGCCGAAAGGCGUAGUCGAUGGGAAACGGGUUAAUAUUCCCGUACUUGGUGUUACUGCGAAGGGGGGACGGAGAAGGCUAUGUUGGCCGGGCGACGGUUGUCCCGGUUUAAGCGUGUAGGUGUGUGUUCCAGGUAAAUCCGGUUCACUUUAACACUGAGGCGUGACGACGAGGCACUACGGUGCUGAAGCAACAAAUGCCCUGCUUCCGGGAAAGCCUCUAAGCAUCAGGUAACAUCAAAUCGUACCCCAAACCGACACAGGUGGUCAGGUAGAGAAUACCAAGGCGCUUGAGAGAACUCGGGUGAAGGAACUAGGCAAAAUGGUGCCGUAACUUCGGGAGAAGGCACGCUGACACGUAGGUGAAGUGAUUUACUCAUGGAGCUGAAGUCAGUCGAAGAUACCAGCUGGCUGCAACUGUUUAUUAAAAACACAGCACUGUGCAAACACGAAAGUGGACGUAUACGGUGUGACGCCUGCCCGGUGCCGGAAGGUUAAUUGAUGGGGUCAGCGCAAGCGAAGCUCCUGAUCGAAGCCCCGGUAAACGGCGGCCGUAACUAUAACGGUCCUAAGGUAGCGAAAUUCCUUGUCGGGUAAGUUCCGACCUGCACGAAUGGCGUAAUGAUGGCCAGGCUGUCUCCACCCGAGACUCAGUGAAAUUGAACUCGCUGUGAAGAUGCAGUGUACCCGCGGCAAGACGGAAAGACCCCGUGAACCUUUACUAUAGCUUGACACUGAACAUUGAGCCUUGAUGUGUAGGAUAGGUGGGAGGCUUUGAAGUGUGGACGCCAGUCUGCAUGGAGCCGACCUUGAAAUACCACCCUUUAAUGUUUGAUGUUCUAACGUGGACCCGUUACCCGGGUUGCGGACAGUGUCUGGUGGGUAGUUUGACUGGGGCGGUCUCCUCCUAAAGAGUAACGGAGGAGCACGAAGGUUGGCUAAUCCUGGUCGGACAUCAGGAGGUUAGUGCAAUGGCAUAAGCCAGCUUGACUGCGAGCGUGACGGCGCGAGCAGGUGCGAAAGCAGGUCAUAGUGAUCCGGUGGUUCUGAAUGGAAGGGCCAUCGCUCAACGGAUAAAAGGUACUCCGGGGAUAACAGGCUGAUACCGCCCAAGAGUUCAUAUCGACGGCGGUGUUUGGCACCUCGAUGUCGGCUCAUCACAUCCUGGGGCUGAAGUAGGUCCCAAGGGUAUGGCUGUUCGCCAUUUAAAGUGGUACGCGAGCUGGGUUUAGAACGUCGUGAGACAGUUCGGUCCCUAUCUGCCGUGGGCGCUGGAGAACUGAGGGGGGCUGCUCCUAGUACGAGAGGACCGGAGUGGACGCAUCACUGGUGUUCGGGUUGUCAUGCCAAUGGCACUGCCCGGUAGCUAAAUGCGGAAGAGAUAAGUGCUGAAAGCAUCUAAGCACGAAACUUGCCCCGAGAUGAGUUCUCCCUGAGACUUAGAGUCUCCUGAAGGAACGUUGAAGACGACGACGUUGAUAGGCCGGGUGUGUAAGCGCAGCGAUGCGUUGAGCUAACCGGUACUAAUGAACCGUGAGGCUUAACCUUACAACGCCGAAG